Zopfochytrium polystomum is the source of this 71-nucleotide non-coding RNA. The record is from the annotation of a GenBank genome assembly. Lineage: Eukaryota; Fungi; Chytridiomycota; Chytridiomycetes; Chytridiales; Chytridiaceae.
CGGGGUAUAUAUCAGCGGUAGAUUGCUCGCUUCGCAUGAGAGGUGCCUCGGGUUCGAUCCCUAUGCCUCCA